UAAAUAUGGGUGUUAAGCACAUGGAACUUUGAAUUCUAAGGUAAUAAUUUAUUAUUAUAUUUAU
Molecule: transfer RNA, 64 nt
Filed under: Eomenopon denticulatum
Lineage: Eukaryota; Metazoa; Arthropoda; Insecta; Psocodea; Menoponidae
Description: tRNA-Gln
Source: RNAcentral